This is a non-coding RNA of Podarcis lilfordi (Lilford's wall lizard), 78 nucleotides long. Lineage: Eukaryota; Metazoa; Chordata; Lepidosauria; Squamata; Lacertidae. The record is from the annotation of a GenBank genome assembly.
GCCAUAGCUUAAUGGUAGCGCAUCUGCUUUGCAUGCAGGAGGUCCCUGGUUCAAUUCUCAACAUCCCUAGGUAGUACU